RNAcentral lists this ribosomal RNA (585 nucleotides) under Triticum aestivum (bread wheat). Its description in RNAcentral is "partial small subunit ribosomal RNA". The record is from RNAcentral. Lineage: Eukaryota; Viridiplantae; Streptophyta; Magnoliopsida; Poales; Poaceae.
AUGAUCAGUAGGAUCCUGAAGAGGGUCUGCGGCUUGUACCCUCAACACAUCGGCGUUGAUGUCGAGUAUACCAGGGAAGGCGAACCUCCGCAGAGGGCAGCGGUUCUGCAAUUAUGCAUGGAGGAACUAUGUCUGGUAUACCACAUCACCGCGACAACAAAAUGGCCCAAGAGCAUGCGCCCGUUCCUGAAGGAGGAUAGGUUCUACACCUUUGCCGGCUUCAGUAUUGAAGGUGACAAAGAGAUGUUGCGAAGAUCUGGUUUGGAGAUCAACCCCGACAAGUACAUCGACAUCCAGCGCAAAUGGAGAGCUUCGUUCAAGGGAAGAAAGAGGUUCCACUCUUUGGCUGAUGUUGCAAGGAGCGUGAUCCACCCAUUCUACAAACAGAUGAAGAAUAGGAUUGACAGGGUUGAAGACCAUAAACUGUGGGGGAUCAGCCCACGACCAAAUUACCUCAUUGAGUACGCAGCGAUAGAUGUGUACGCCACCUACGAGUCAUGGAAGAGAAUUCAAAACAUCAGAGAAGGUCUGGAGAGUGCAAAAGAGGCAGAGAAGAAUUAUUACGAUCCUUACUACGACUACUAG